This 253-nucleotide ribosomal RNA is filed under the name uncultured bacterium. Its description in RNAcentral is "partial 16S ribosomal RNA". It matches the Rfam family "Bacterial small subunit ribosomal RNA", at positions 524 to 776 of the family's 1533-position model. The record is from RNAcentral.
UACAGAGGGUGCAAGCGUUACUCGGAAUUACUGGGCGUAAAGCGUGCGUAGACGGUUAUGUAAGUCAGAUGUGAAAGCCCCGGGCUUAACCUGGGAAUGGCAUUUGAGACUGCAUAGCUAGGGUGCGGAAGAGGGAAGCGGAAUUUCCGGUGUAGCGGUGAAAUGCGUAGAUAUCGGAAGGAACACCAGUGGCGAAAGCGGCUUCCUGGUCCAGCACCGACGUUCAGGCACGAAAGCGUGGGGAGCAAACAGG